RNAcentral lists this ribosomal RNA (606 nucleotides) under Escherichia coli. RNAcentral describes it as "partial 23S ribosomal RNA". It matches the Rfam family "Bacterial large subunit ribosomal RNA", at positions 778 to 1380 of the family's 2925-position model. Lineage: Bacteria; Pseudomonadati; Pseudomonadota; Gammaproteobacteria; Enterobacterales; Enterobacteriaceae. The record is from RNAcentral.
ACCGACUAAUGUUGAAAAAUUAGCGGAUGACUUGUGGCUGGGGGUGAAAGGCCAAUCAAACCGGGAGAUAGCUGGUUCUCCCCGAAAGCUAUUUAGGUAGCGCCUCGUGAAUUCAUCUCCGGGGGUAGAGCACUGUUUCGGCAAGGGGGUCAUCCCGACUUACCAACCCGAUGCAAACUGCGAAUACCGGAGAAUGUUAUCACGGGAGACACACGGCGGGUGCUAACGUCCGUCGUGAAGAGGGAAACAACCCAGACCGCCAGCUAAGGUCCCAAAGUCAUGGUUAAGUGGGAAACGAUGUGGGAAGGCCCAGACAGCCAGGAUGUUGGCUUAGAAGCAGCCAUCAUUUAAAGAAAGCGUAAUAGCUCACUGGUCGAGUCGGCCUGCGCGGAAGAUGUAACGGGGCUAAACCAUGCACCGAAGCUGCGGCAGCGACGCUUAUGCGUUGUUGGGUAGGGGAGCGUUCUGUAAGCCUGUGAAGGUGUGCUGUGAGGCAUGCUGGAGGUAUCAGAAGUGCGAAUGCUGACAUAAGUAACGAUAAAGCGGGUGAAAAGCCCGCUCGCCGGAAGACCAAGGGUUCCUGUCCAACGUUAAUCGGGGCAGGGU